RNAcentral lists this transfer RNA (76 nucleotides) under Escherichia coli. RNAcentral describes it as "tRNA-Thr". It matches the Rfam family "tRNA". From Rfam's summary of the family: Transfer RNA (tRNA) molecules are approximately 80 nucleotides in length. Their secondary structure includes four short double-helical elements and three loops (D, anti-codon, and T loops). RNAcentral also lists the same sequence under 3 other names. The record is from RNAcentral. Lineage: Bacteria; Pseudomonadati; Pseudomonadota; Gammaproteobacteria; Enterobacterales; Enterobacteriaceae.
GCUGAUAUGGCUCAGUUGGUAGAGCGCACCUUUGGUAAGGGUGAGGUCCCCAGUUCGACUCUGGGUAUCAGCACCA